UACGAAGGGUGCAAGCGUUAAUCGGAAUUACUGGGCGUAAAGCGCGCGUAGGUGGUUCGUUAAGUUGGAUGUGAAAUCCCCGGGCUCAACCUGGGAACUGCAUUCAAAACUGACGAGCUAGAGUAUGGUAGAGGGUGGUGGAAUUUCCUGUGUAGCGGUGAAAUGCGUAGAUAUAGGAAGGAACACCAGUGGCGAAGGCGACCACCUGGACUGAUACUGACACUGAGGUGCGAAAGCGUGGGGAGCAAACAGG
RNAcentral lists this ribosomal RNA (253 nucleotides) under uncultured bacterium. RNAcentral's name for it is "partial 16S ribosomal RNA". It matches the Rfam family "Bacterial small subunit ribosomal RNA", at positions 524 to 776 of the family's 1533-position model. The record is from RNAcentral.